This 253-nucleotide ribosomal RNA is filed under the name uncultured bacterium. RNAcentral's name for it is "partial 16S ribosomal RNA". It matches the Rfam family "Bacterial small subunit ribosomal RNA", at positions 524 to 776 of the family's 1533-position model. The record is from RNAcentral.
AACGUAGGUACCGAGCGUUAUCCGGAUUUACUGGGCGUAAAGCGCGUUCAGGCGGUUUGGCAAGUCGGGCAUGAAAUCUCUCGGCUCAACCGGGAGAGGUUGUCCGAUACUGCUGGACUGGAGGGCAGUAGAGGGUGGUGGAAUUCCACGUGUAGCGGUGAAAUGCGUAGAGAUGUGGAGGAACACCGAUGGCGAAGGCAGCCUUCUGGGCCAACACUGACGCUCAUGCACGAAAGCGUGGGGAGCAAACAGG